CUACAAAGGAAUUGACGGGGGCCCGCACAAGCAGCGGAGCGUGUGGUUUAAUUCGAUGCAACACGAAGAACCUUACCAGGACUUGACAUGCUAGAAGUAGGAACCUGAAAGGGGACGACCUGUUAAGUCAGGAGCUAGCACAGGUGCUGCAUGGCUGUCGUCAGCUCGUGCCGUGAGGCGUUGGGUUAAGUCCCGUAACGAGCGCAACCCUCGUUGCCAGUUAUUUUCUCUGGCGAGACUGCCCCGCAAAACGGGGAGGAAGGUGGGGAUGACGUCAAGUCAGCAUGGCCUUUAUGUCCUGGGCCACACACACGCUACAAUGGGUGGUACAGUAGGUUGCAAUGGAGCGAUCCGGAGCUAAUCCUAAAAGCCAUCCUCAGUUCAGAUUGCAGGCUGAAAUUCGCCUGCAUGAAGUCGGAGUUGCUAGUAACCGCGUAUCAGCAUGGCGCGGUGAAUACGUUCUCGGGCCUU
This 471-nucleotide ribosomal RNA is filed under the name uncultured Chloroflexota bacterium. Its description in RNAcentral is "bacterial SSU rRNA". It matches the Rfam family "Bacterial small subunit ribosomal RNA", at positions 903 to 1382 of the family's 1533-position model. The record is from RNAcentral. Lineage: Bacteria; Bacillati; Chloroflexota.